This 334-nucleotide ribosomal RNA is filed under the name uncultured Latescibacterota bacterium. RNAcentral describes it as "bacterial SSU rRNA". It matches the Rfam family "Bacterial small subunit ribosomal RNA", at positions 29 to 351 of the family's 1533-position model. Lineage: Bacteria; Pseudomonadati; Candidatus Latescibacterota. The record is from RNAcentral.
AACGAACGUUGGCGGCGUGGAUUAGGCAUGCAAGUCGAACGGGGUUGGAGCAAUCCAACCUAGUGGCGAACGGGUGAGUAGCGCGUGGGAAACCUGCCCUCGAGAUGGGGAUAACACUUCCAACGAGGUGCUAAUACCGGAUAAGACCACAGGGUCGCAUGGCCUGGUGGUUAAAGAUGGCCUCUGCUUGCAAGCUAUCACUCGAGGAUGGUCCCGCGUCCCAUUAGCUUGUUGGUAGGGUAACGGCCUACCAAGGCUACGAUGGGUAGCUGGUCUGAGAGGAUGGUCAGCCACACUGGGACUGAGAUACGGCCCAGACACCUACGGGUGGCAG